Molecule: long non-coding RNA, 4855 nt
Filed under: Heterocephalus glaber (naked mole-rat)
Lineage: Eukaryota; Metazoa; Chordata; Mammalia; Rodentia; Bathyergidae
Description: lncRNA (ENSHGLG00000038277.1)
Source: RNAcentral
CAAAAGUUCAGGGUGUGAUAUCUAAGGUCACUACGGAAAAUCCAGAGACCAGAUACAUCACUCCUAACUGCAAGACAAAAGGAAAAGUCAGGUGUGGUGGUGCUUCCCAGCAAUCUCAGAUCUCGGACACUGAGUAAGACCUAAACACUCUCUGUCUCUCUGUCUCUCUCUCUCUCUGUCUCUCUCUGUCUCUCUCUCUCUCUGAAAAAGAAACAGUGAGGUGAAUUACUUCUGAAGAAAUAACGAAAAGCUUCCAGCCUACUUAGAGGAAGCAAGACAGAGAGGAAGACAGAAUAAGGUGGUAGAAAUAAGCACGAAUAUACGAACAUAUUCUCUUUAUGCUAGGCAUCCUCAUACAAUCCUGGCAGAGCUGGGGCCCCUGGCAACCUCAGCGCGUGAUCUCAGCACAGGGCUCUGCUGCCCUCCGGUGGCCGCUCGGUGUCACUGCACGCCCCGCCUGCUCUGGUCCCGGGAGGAGAGAGCUCCAGCUUGGGAAGCUGACCUGCAGGGAUGGGUGCCCCUCCUCCUGCCCCCCAAGUCGCCCUCCCAUCCCUCUCCCUUGGGGACAGUUUAGAGCUACCUGUCCGCACAGCCUCACGCACUCACAAGCCGCCUCUGGGAGGUGAUUGCCUCAUGGGCGUGGUACACCUGGGUUGACAGGAGGUGGGAUCUGGGCUGAGAGAAAUCGCCUGGUUCAGGGCCUGGGAGCCUUCAUCUCGCUGCCUCUGCUCCCUGGACUCUGCUUUCUGUCUGCCAGGCCCCUCCGCCAUGCCGCGCUGCCUUUGAGCUGCUGACUAGGGACUGAAACCUCUCCCAAGUGCGAGCCGAGAUAAACCUCUCCUCGGUUAACUUGUGUGCGCCCCGUAAGCGUGUCUCGGUGACCAAGUCACUCCCCUCGAGGUCCUGCCCUUGACACCUGCACGGCACGUGAGUGACACCUCUCGGGGGCAGGUCCAACCUUGGCUCUUGGGGAGGUUCUGGAGACGCGGUGGGGCAGCCCCCGGUGAGUCCUGGACGGGUCUAGGCCCCUGCCCCAGGUGUGUGGUCAAAAACAGUACGUUGUGUGGGUGCAGGAGUGGCUCUGCCUGUGUCCGACGCUCUCCACAAGGCCCCGGCAGCUUCCCGGCCGCACCUGUGCCCACCUCGGCCUGAGGGUGUGGGCCCACCUGAGCCACACUAGAGCUCCUGACCUGGCAAGACCCGUGGGGUCCUGAGCCUUCCACGAGCUCUAGGAAGGCUCGAUCGGUCUCUGGGAGGGCCUGACUCCCCUGCUGCUCAGCCACCACACAGCGCCCAGUCACGUCCUGUCCUCGUGGGAUUUCUUCCCCAGCUAGCAAGGGCGGCCCAUUGUGACCUCACUGGACCCGGUCGUCUCCAUGGCAAAAGUCUUUGGCCAUUCAUACCCGUGUCCAUCCGUUGCCUCAGCCUUUCUCUUCAGCCAUGGCAAGGGUCCUAGCAGAGGUUCUUCAGCCUUAGUCAGCCCACUUUAGCUUGCUCCUUUUCUUCCUCGUAGGCACAACAGGCAUUGGGCUCUCCCAUCCCAACAGCAGCAUAUGCAUCCUUUUCAACUGGAAUAAAUUUUAAAGUGAUUUUUUAAAUCAUGUCACCCGUAAUUCAUUCAUUCAUCUGUUAUGGCCGAAUUUGGGACCCAUAUCAUUUAACCAUAUUUCAGGCUAAAAGUAAGAAAUAAAUUUGAAAGCCUUAAGUAACGAAAAGCUGGUUUGUUUGUUCAAUUCUGACAUCUGACUUCGGGAAGGAUUAAAAAACUUCCAGCAUUCACUGUGUUGUUCUCCUUCCUCAGACCUGGCUCGGCUUCUGGGUUCUUAGGCAUACCUUCUCUUAUCUAUUCCAGGCUUCCCUCGGGCCGUAGCAGCUCACAGAUGAUUUCCCAAGAUGAGAAGGCUCUCAUUUCCAUCAUUUCAAAUGACAUUCUUCACGUUUGUUCUGAUUGGGUUUGUGUAAAGGAUUUAUUCAAAACCAACCUGUAUAACCAUGGAAAUGACUAUCCUCAUUGGGUUUAAUCCAAACAAAAUCCCCUCCCAAAUGUGCACAAUGGAGGUCUUGGGUUGAAGGUGGAGGUGUUCUCCCAAAAUAAGCUGCGAUGUUCCUACAACUGUGCGUGACAAAAAGUGUCUGUUACAGGGUUCCAACUGUCCCUGGCCAUAAACGUACACAUCCCACCCUCUUCCUCAGACAUUACGUUGCCUAAAUCCUCCCCCCAAUACAGUCCCAGCUUCCAUUCUUUGUUGCAUUUCUAAUUCAAACAUUUAGGUGUGAAACACAUGUCACGUACACACAUCCUUGACAUCCACACCUGAUUCGGUCUGAGAUCACCUAAGCUGAAAUAGCCCUGAUAGCCACACUAUUCUUGAUUAUCACUAUUCAAUGCUUCUGUGAAAUUCAUAUCUACUGCUGAUGCAGGUACAAGUGACCAAAAGAGAAAUGAGGAAAGAAACACAGUUCAGAAACCCAUCUGUGCACUCAUUCCACAGUUAUAAAUACUUCAAGGACCAAACUACUACUGCAAACAAAACAGGGCAUUGGAGCAAAACAUUAAAAUAAAGACUCAUCAUCAGUACUAACUCCCAUUCUGUCCAUCAUAACGUGCAUUACUGAAAAGAAAAUUGUCUCCAAUAAAUUGUAAGGUUUUAUGCUCUAAAUAUGUCAUAGAUUGCUUAUAACACUCCUAGAUCACUUAUCAGAAAUUGCAUCCUUUUAUGGAAACUGCAGGUCAUGGAUUCUAUCUGGAUGUCCCCCCUCAAGCCCCUUGCACCCAGAGGUGAGGGCUUCCAGAGGGUGACUGGGUGAUGGGGGUGCUACGCCAGGCUUGGUGUCAGGAUGUGGGCCUGGUCGGAAGAGGUGGGUCAGCGCGGGUGUGACCUGGGAGGGUGUCUCUUGCUCCCUGGCCCACACUUUACCAUGUGCCUCCUGGCCUCCGCCAGGCAAGCAGCAUUUCUAUCAAUGUGCACCUCUGACAUGCCAUCCUGCCAUCCUGCCAUCCUGGAGCUAGCUAACUAUGAACUGAAAUGUGAGCUGAAACAAACCUCUCUUCCCUUAAUGUGUAGUGCUGAGUAUUGUGUUCAGGGACAAGCAAGUGGGUGAUACAGAUGUUGGUACAAGAAGUCUGCUGGUCACUGCAGCGACUGUACCUCACCAGGUGGUUCAGAGGCCUGUGGAAGUGGUCCACAGCAGUUUGGAAAGGUUUGGAGAUGCCAGCUGGAGAAGCAGCCCUAGAAUGCUCUAAUCUGAGCUUGAUGGAAGAUUCUGGUCCGAGCACAGAAGACCGGAGUGCAGAGAGAUUGCAGAUGAGAAAGGCCAGACUUAGGAGGUUUCAGUUGAGAAGAAGGAUGCCAGUGGCAGUUGGAUCCAGGCCAUGUGUGUUGUGCUCCAGCAGAAAAUAGGACUGUAUUGUGUUCGUGUCCUGAGAUUUGUGUGAGACUGAUACGAAGGGUGGAAGAAUCAUUCAUCUGAUGGAGAAAAUAUCAAGGUAGCCUAAAUAUCAGGCUGUAGCAUGGAUGCUGCUUGCUACUUUGAGCCAGGUUUGUGCUGAAAAUGAGGAGCAAAAGCCCAUUUAAAAACUUUUCAGUUCCACCCCCCCCCCCCAAAGAAAGGCCUGUAAAGAUGGAGCAAUGGACAGCCUGGUGGAUCAAAGAUUAGCAUUAAAAAGAAAUCAAGUACUUUACCAUAGGACGAUGGAAAAGAUACCCUGAAGACACAUAAGGAACCCACAAGGCCCAACCUUUCCAAGGCUCACAGUUGCAAAAGGGAAAGACUUUGUUUGGAGAGGAGAGCCCCAGGGCACCCUGCGUGAGAAGGGCCACCGUGGCGGGUUCCCUGGGAUUCAUCCAGUUCAUGGUGCUCAGCCAUCCAGGCCCAUGGAUGCUUCUGCAGCCAUGAUGCACAAAGGCCUAAGGAGGACUGCUUGGAGCCAGUGGUAGAACUUUGUGUCAUCUACAGGGUGCUGUUUUCACAGGUGUGCAGAAUGCAAGAGUUGAGUCAGGGAGGCUUCCACCCAAAUUUCCAAGGAAGGCCUGGCAGGCCAGGCUGGGUGUCCCUGAGAGGGCAGUGCAUGCAGCUGUGAGAGUUAAGCCAAAGGUGCGCUGGAGAACCCAGGAUGAGGGUGCAGUCAGGAACAUGGAACACCUGCAGAAAGCCACGCACCCAAACAUGUAACCCUCAUCUAAUCAGGAAGGAAACAUCAGGAAAACUUAAAUUGGGGGACAUUCUGUAAGAUAUCAGCUCAGUCAUACUCCAAACUGUCAGCUCAUACCAAACGAAACAAGGAAAAAUUGUGAAAACAUCAGUCAAGGGGCGUCUGAGGGAUGCAACAAUGAAAUGCAAUGUGGCAGCCCGGACGGGACUGCAGAUUGUUGUGGAGAGCAAGUGGUGAAGGUGGAUCUUAGUUAGUAAUUAUACAUCAAUAUUUGCUCACUCCUUGUACAGGAUGUACAAGACUAAUGGAUGACAUUAAUAACAGGAAAUGGAAGAGCUGGGUGGCCAUCUUAAUUGUGUAUAAAUCUAAAGCUUGUCAUAUAUAUAAGCUGUACUACGAGUUGUUCUUGUUUUGGUAUUUUUGGUUUUUCUUUCUUUUGGUACCGGGCAUUGAACUCAGGACCUUGUGCUGGUGAGGCAGGCAUGGUGCCACUGAGCUAAAUCCCCGGCCCCUCAAGCUCUGUUAUGUACAUGUAGCCACUCCUCAAAUGAUUGUGAACUGCACAAUAAAAAGAAGCAACAAUGUAAACUGCAGGCCUGCUUUCUAACACCGAAUCUCCCACCCUCAGCCAUAAUAGAAGCCUAAAUAUACUCCACAACCUCAACUAAAUCCCAACAAAAACCGCAACCCAAAGUGCACCUU